This 569-nucleotide long non-coding RNA is filed under the name Vitis vinifera (wine grape). RNAcentral's name for it is "long non-coding RNA (VVIN_LNC008020)". The record is from RNAcentral. Lineage: Eukaryota; Viridiplantae; Streptophyta; Magnoliopsida; Vitales; Vitaceae.
GUGUCUUUGCCGAGGCAUUCUUAAUAGAGUUCUCAAGGACUAACAUGGGUUGAUUUCCAGCUAGAGUCUUCUGGCUUUGAGCUGGAGCCAGCCCCCAAAGUGGAACAAACACUGGCAGUAGCUACCACGCUGCCCUAUCAGCUGGAAUCAUCACCCGAGCCGCAUGUUUGGGUUCCCAAGGAGGCAACUGCGUUGUAAAACAUAACAUCAAGUUUUCCAUCCCGGAAUGAUUCACUACGGGCUGCAUACAUCUUCUAAAAGAGAUCCUUAUGGAGUCCUUCAAAUCCGCAUUACUCGAGUGUUGAGGAGAGUAGAAAUUCCUCGUUGAAGCAAAGCUAGCAGACCCUGCAUCCUUUACAAUCUGCUGGCCAGAAUCUGGUCAUACUUUUCUGAAGCUGUUUCAUCAUCUUUUGGAUCAAUGAGCAUGUUAAGGGUGACUAUAUCAAAGGGCGCUUCAAUUUUCCAACUUUGAUAUUCUGACUGUGAGCAAGAUGACUGUCUUGGUCCGCAUCCUUGGCUAAAAGGUCUCAACAAGAUUUCAAUCGAUCAGUGGGAUGAUUCAGUGUGAG